Molecule: non-coding RNA, 8626 nt
Organism: Anas platyrhynchos (mallard)
Lineage: Eukaryota; Metazoa; Chordata; Aves; Anseriformes; Anatidae
Source: RefSeq, a predicted model, not a curated record
UCUUGGCAGCAUGGUGUACACAUCUUGCAAGACCAUGACAUGCCACACUCCCUCUGAAGACACGGUCAGCUAGGGCUAGCAUGUUAAAUUAGGGAUUUCAUCUCCUCCACUCCCUUUGCAGUCAAUGAAAAAGGGAGAAGGGCUGGAUCAGCAGAGGGGAUGGCAGGAGCUGCCUUCAGAGUCCAAGCACGGGCCUUCUCCUGCAUUUUCCAUGAUCUGGGAGUUUUAGGACAAUAAAAACAAGGUCUUUCUGCAAUCACCCCUCUCCAGUCUGCUAGAUCUGCAGACUGGUGUUCCAAGAGAUCAGCAGCAUAUCAGUAGGAGCAAAGUUAUCCAAAUGGUGAAGUGGUUUUGGAAACCCAGCCGUGUAACUUUGGCAUUUAAGCAAUAUUUCCUUCUGCAAAAGGAAGGAGAUGCUGCAGUGAAUCGAUACAUCCUGUGGAUAUCUUGGGUGCAUUGACUUAUGGCCCAAUAGUGCCUCCAACAACAGCAGAAGUAAUCAGAAUACAGAGCAAUAAUGCAACCUUUCGCUAUAUGGGAGCUAAGAAAUGGGGUCCGGCCUCGUACACCAGCUUCUCCUGCUUCAUACUUGAACUUUUAUUCUUAAGGCUUUCUUCUUCGCCAUCUCUUGUGGUAUUUUUUGCUUAGUACUUCUCAAAAUUACAUUUAAGCUUAUAAUAAUUUUACCAUAAGAUUUAAUCCUGGUGUGUUUGGGUGUCUCCAUAGCAAUUACUCCCCCACCCUGCAGCUCCUGCUCUGCAAAAGAACUCAUCACCUGUGAAGGGGGCAAAAUUCAGAAACACCUGAUAAUUUGGUAAGUGAUUCAGUACAAACCCUGUGUCUGUUUUGGUUAAGAAUGUAAGGAUUCAUGAAAAAAAGCUGCUUAGAUGUUGUCAUAGGACAUAACUAUUUUUUCCCUUUAUUUAUUUAUUUAUUUAUUUUCCCCUGAACAGAACUGUCUUGAAUAUCCCAUAGGCUUUGGUGGGAAUUUUAGAAAUACUGUCAAUAUUUCUAUUUCCACACACAUGCAAAAUACCCUAUGCAACAUCUUACUACUGGAGGCCUGGAGACAGGGAGAUUAUGUGCUACUCAAAUGUGCUCUUUAAAAGUUUUGAAUUUCACCAAACAUCACAGAAGUUAUCUUCAUGGUGCUUUCAGAAAGACUGAUGGUAGAGGCUUGCUGUCAUCACAUCAUCGUCUCGUUCAAGUGGCAUAAGUUAAAGUUCUGGUUAGACCGAGGAAAUGCUCAUAUGUAUGGUUCUAAGGACAACCUCUUGCUAUAAGCCUGUAAAAUGAAUAAGAUGGAUGAAGAGAGCUUAGGUUUGAACCAAUCUUUGGGUCCUCCUCAUGCCUUGAAGUCCGUCUGGCUGAUAUGGCUACGUGCAAUGGAUAAAGAGAAAAACAACUUUGAUCUUCUUCCACAGGAUUAUACAAGGUUGGACUCAGUGAAGCAUCACUGACAUCUUCGGAUGGAUUUUGAUCAAGUCAUGCUGCCAUGUGGGCAUCAGGACUGGGCUACAACUGUUACCUGCUGUAUUGGGCUGCUGUUGUUCUCCUAGGAUUUGGACUUGGUUGGCACAAGCAAAGACUUUCCACUGCCCUCCUCCCCUGGAAGCUGUCUCACAGGUAGGGUUACCCAUUACAGUCGGGGGUGCCCCUUACUCUCUGUCCUCGCAGGGCUCACGGGAUGGUGCUGAGCUGUCGGCAGCAGUUGCUCCUGUGCACGUCCACUGUCUGCAAAGUGAGUUGGGCCUUGGGCCCCCUGGAGAGCCCAGAGCCAUCUCCUGGUGGUGCUGGAGAUGGGGAGCACUCUGAAAUGUUAGAGGACACAGGGGUCUUACAUGCAUCUCUCAGGGAAUAACGCCUGGUGGUUCUUCUUGUUCGUGCUUGCUUUUAAAUCUUCACCUCCGCCUUUGGUGGGAAAAAGUAAGGUGCUUCUAUAUCCAGGACAGCAAAUCAUUGGGAAAUCCUGGGAAGAUGCACGGUGUGACGGUGGCAGUACUGGUUAUGGAUAAGGUCCUUGGUAGGGAGAAGUGUGCAAACGGGAGGAGGCUGUGCCUUGGUCCAGCUGAGGUUUCUGAAAGAUGAUUUCAUGACCUCCCGUGUGCCAAGACCAGCCUAAAGAACAAGUCAUGCUUAUGCUUUAUGCAGACCAUAUGCCACCGAUUUUUUCUGCUGAAACACGGCCAAAAUCUUUCACUGGUUGGAUGGAGGCGUGUGGAUAAUGCGCAUUAGCAAUACCAAUACCUCAUGUUUAGAGUAAAAAAUAGAUAUCUUUUAAAGCAACUGCUCUAAAGAUUUAUUAAACACCUGCUGUUACUUCCCGCUUGAUCUUCGACUAGGGCCUGCUCUGAAGAGCAAUCAAUUCUGCUUUUAAACGCAAUAUCUGAUAUUUUAAAAUACCUUAGCCCACCACCAAAUGAAAAAAUCUCUUCCCCUUAAAAGCUGGGUUGUUUGUUCUCCUGCUCCUGCCCGAGCACACGGCUGUUUCUUUCCAUUCUCUCAACUCUGGCCAGCUGUGGUUCACUUUCUGGGCUGAAGUGAGGGGGCAGAGUGGUCCUGGGUGAGAUGUUUGCAGUCGGUGGCUCGCAGACCUUCCCCAGAGGGCUCACACCGUGCUGUGAACACCGAGCCCCAUUUACUUUGUCUUCAGAUGCAUUUGAGCCUUGCUUGGGAAUGAGCAGUGCUGGGGGGCAGUGCCACAUCUCCUCCUCAGCCUGACCCCGCACAGAGCUCAGCUCUGCAGGUUCACCCCGAUGCCACAAGCACGUCUCCCUCCUGCCACCCUCCGUGUCCUGUGGAGCCCCGCGGCCUCUUCUGCGGCUUAGCCGUGGCCGCGUGGCUGCUAAUCCCAUCUCCUCGCCCCUCUGGGGGGGCUAAACUGUCUGACCUGCGACCCCCAGCUGGUCUGAGACCUCCAUCAAUCCUUCUGAAAAGUUUUACUGGAAUCAGGGCUUCCAAAUGACCCUUUGCAUAGUUUCUAAAAAAAAAAAAAAAAAAAAAAAGGAAAGAAAGAAAGAAAAAACACCCAAGAAAAAUCCAGCCCUGUGCUGUUUUCUGUUGUUUUAGCAGAAACCAAACAUAACUCGUAAAAAACACAGGCAAGAAAAAUAGAGCGCGCCGGCUGCCAGAAAAACAAACCGUAGCAGAACACGGAGGGGCCUCUCGCGGGGAGGAGGCAGGGAAGAAACACCUGCGAUUUCCAUCGAGGCUCCCCUGACACCCACGUUCCCCCCGCCCUGCUCCAGCCUGCUCUGGCUUCGGCCCCGGCGCCGGGUCUCGGUGCGAGGGGUCCCUCCUCAUCCUCGUGGGCUGCUUGGACGCGGCCCCAAGCGCCGGCCCCGUGAAUCACAGCAGCUGAUGAGCACAGAGCGUGCCUGCCAAUUGUCCUCAUGUCAUUGCUAUGGUUAUCUUAAAAGUGCUCUGCAGAUGUUUGCCUGCUUGGAGAAAAAAAAAAAAAAAAAGAAAGAAAAAAGGAAGAUGAAAACAAAGCUUUAAAUUUUUUCUCCGCAACUGUUAUACCGCAAGUAUGAAGAAGCUUGGAUGGAGGUGGGGCUGUUGGUGCUGGUGGGGUUUGGGGCCCUGGUGGUCCCUGGAGGCUCUGGUGGGGUUAAGAUGCCAGGUGGCCCUGUUGUGCCACGGGACAUGCUGGGUGCACCCUGCGAUGGGCGAGCAGGCAGUGGGGAUGGCUGCAGGCACCCAGGACAUGUGUAUGGUGCUUGGACGGGCUCACUGGUGCUCCAACCCUUCCCUGAGCAGAGAAAUAUCCAUGGGGGCUGUGCUCAGCCAUGAGGCAUCAAUUCUGCUAGCAGAAAUGUGUUUCUGCGUGUGAUUUCCCAAAGCUCCUGGAUCACAACGCACAGGGCCAGUGGGGCUUGGAGAGGGGACCUGAGACUCAACGUGGACCUGAGCGUGGAGCUGAAACAUUUGUCUCGGUGGUUUUACGGCUUUGUCAGGCUUGGUGUUUAUAGGAGGCGGGAAGAUAAAUGAUGCGAGAGGUGAGUGCUGAGGGUGUAAUUCAGCGGCCGUAUCAAGCAGGCCCUCCAGGAACAACUUCUCCUUUCAGCCGCUGCACCGCUUCUGCCAGCAGGAUGAAUGCACUGCCAGGGCUCAUCCAAAUGCCCUGCAGGGAUGUUACGGGAGUGUCCAGCACGAGCCCGCUGGAAUCAACAGCAGAUUUUUUCCAUCCAUUUAUGCAAACCCUGACCACGUUAGAAACAAGCGUGCACGUCCUCAGCGGCAGCAGAAGCCCGCCGGGCUCAAGGGUCCCGCAACAGGAGGCGAUCCGCUGGCCUGUGGUGGAGAAGCCGUCCCUACAGCACACAGAGGGAGGAACAGCCUGGGGAGAAAGCUCCCUCUGCUAUUUCAUGGGUGGGAGGUUCAAGCGCACAGCGUGCUCAGGAACAUUUUGUGAGGCUGGGGUGGCUAAAUGGAGUUUCGAAACGCGCAUUUUUCUUUGCAAAACGGGGUGGAAAAUCCUGUUUAGGGAAGCAGAGCCCAACGCGGUUGAAUAGAAAAUAGUCCAGCUAUAAAAAGCAUCACUGCCUUUCUCUGGAACAUAUAAAGGGCUCGGUUCAGCAGCACGCGCGAUGCUUCGCUGACCUGGGGUCCCCAAAUUAUUUGCGUUGUCGCAGGACAGGGGCAUGGCUCGAAACCACUUGACAGGCCCUUUUGUGGAGCUGCCUGAUUUACCUUCGGCAGGGCAAAAGAGGGAGCUCAUGCUACAACAAGAGGACAAAGGAUUCAGCAGAUAAGGCUCUACUGAGGAGUGAGGAGGAUCCCAAUAUCGCCAGCACCUGAAGCUUCCCUGGUGCGGUCAGGGCUGCCUGAGGAUCUCCGCAGCUGAGGGGCCUCCCACUGAAACAAAUUUGUUUCAACAGUUGAAGGCUGUUUGCUAAAUUGCUGAUUAUAUGAUAAGUUCUUGAUUUGGGGUAAAUCUUUGAAGUUUAUCAACUUAUUGAAAAUGCUCACUAAUAGAUUUAUUUCCUCCUUGCUUUCUCCCAUCCAUCCCCCCAUUCUUCUCCCAGUACAUGAAAAACGCCAACAUCAGCCCAGUGGACAGAGAAGUAUGGGCUUUAGGCAAGAGGAGAAAUCAGGAAAAUUUUUGGAAUGUAUUUCAAUAAAUACUGACUAAAACAAUGAUGGAAGUAGGUUUCUUUGCAUCUCGAAGUAGAGAAUGCUCUCAAUACACUCCAGUAAGCGAUUUCCCAUUUUGUGCAUGUAUCUUAUAUUUCCCUCAUUUUAGUUGGAGCUUUGCUUUGCAGACGGGUGCCAGGUGUGCGUUGAGCAGCUCUUUUGCCCUGCUGUUUGAAGGCCCCAUGCCACGCUCCCUCCCAAGCAUCCCUCAGCCCCUGGUGGGGCUCCUUGAGUACUGGGGGGCGCCGCAGGCAGAGCACUCAUCCCCUAUCCAAACCCUCGUCCUAUCUCAGCCUGAGCUUUUGCUCCGUCCUGCAGCGUGUGGCAUCUUCAGGCUUGUUUCAGACACGCGCAGAGCUUUAAGUAGCCCUCUCUUCGUUUACCUGGGGCUUGUUUGGAGCUGAAUCUGUAGGCAGAUGAAAGCAGUGUGGAUGCCUCUCACCCUCCUCUGAAGCUGGUUGGGGGAUGAGCAGAGUAAAAAUGACCCCGUACAGAUUUUUAAAAAAGGGAAAAAUUCUUGAAUCAACACUAAAACUUUCACAUCCUUGUAAUAUUCUGGGUAAAUGCUGCUUCUGAAAGGGAAGGCAGGGCUGUGUGGCCAGUGCAGUCCUUCUGCUGCUGGCACGGCCUCUCUCUGGAGAGAUUUGGCACAGCCAGAGCUCCCCAGCUCGUGCUCCUGCAUCUGAGCUAAUGUUACCACCAGCUACUUGUUUCGCGGUGGUUCUCCAUCUGAGGAGAUCACUGUCCAGAGAGGGAUAAAGGGUUCCUUUCUUCUGGGUAACAUCUGAAAUCGCAGCCUGGGCUUUGGUAACUGGAUACUGGUGGCUUCAGUUCUUCCGAUAAGGAGAAUGCUUCUUUCCCUUGUUGUUGCUAAUCCUGGGAGCAGAGAUCAGUUGCAGUGCAGGUGUCUGAUUUUCAUUAAAAUUGCAAAUUGGGCUGGAUGCUUGAUCAGAUAACAAAGACAUCAUUGAAACCAUGUGUCUUCCUUCAGCAGCAGAACCGGGGACAAGACAAAGAAUUUCCCAGUGUGUGUCCACUUGUGCAUAUUUACUGCAGAGAGCCAGUCUUAAUACUGUGGUCAUGGGUGAAUAAAUGGCUUCUAAGAAAUGCCAACCCAAUCAAACUUGCUGCAGCUUUGCAACAGCUUUUGAGUUGAAUAGAAGAACUACAGUGUUAGCCCUUUGGGGAAAGUACAGGAUGUUCUCAAAGGAAAUCGAUUAACUGUAGCAUCUCUUUGGUCCCAAUUUGGGGGAUCUUCCCUUUUUAGCCAAACACUUAAGUGUUUUCUCAGCUCUACGCAUGAGCUUAAGUGCUUUGAUGGAAAGGACGGACUUUCACACAUGCUGCUGUCUGCUCCAGAAUCGAGACAAUGUGCUUUUCACUAUGGGAAAGAGAACGAGUUGGACAGAGAGGUCCAACCCCUCAUUCUGUUUGGAAAUUAUAUGCAAAAAGAUCGCCUGGAGCAGGGAAGAGCGGGGGCUGAUGGCACAUGGUGUUUGGAAAGGAAGUUCCUCAUCCAAGGUCCUCUUGACAGCCAAACAAAGCGGUUCUGAAGGAAACUCACAGAUGUUGUCUUUCCCAAGACAGCGUCUUCUGGCAGAUGCCAGGGUUUGCACAGCUUCAUGUCUUCUUUCAGCCGUGGUCCUCUGCUCCUCUUCUUCAUGGCAAGGCACCUGUGAGCUUCCCUUAGUGGAUGAAGGGAAGCAAAAUCCCAUCCAACCCAAAAUAUUAGGUGUGAAGUAUGUAGGAUAGGCUCACCUUAAUCCUUUAAAAGCUCCAGAAACCAUGACCAGUGGGAAAGGUGCUGAGGUCAGAUGGGUACCUGGUGUUAGAGGAAGAUGGAAUGAUCUUAUCUUGGCCAUAGGAAGGGUUGGAUGCAACCAGGGCAUAAUGCAUCUAAAUUCACCGAUUUAGGGGUGAAAGAAACUGUUCCUGCGAGGCUGCUGGGUUUUCUCUAGAGGAAGGACACGGUAUGGAUGCUGCUUGCCAUGUGAGCACAUUUGGGCAGGGGCAGGUAGCUGUGAUGCAGGAGCCAGCCCCACACCAGCAUCCUGCCCGCUGGUAAAGCAGGGCCAAGUUCGGCUCUGCUCCACCACCCUGAGAAACAGCUGAACUUCUUACCCCAAAACGCUGCGAAAAGCCUAUGAAAGACUGUGAAACAUUUUGUUUUCUGAGCAAUGGCCAUGAUUUGAAUAUUACAGAAAUAUGCAAGGAAUUUCUCUGGGACUACGACAGGCGGUGCAGACGUCCAGGCUGAUUGCUCUGACAGCUUCCCAUGCAACGAGUGCCCGCUCUUACUGUUCGUUGUCAUCCCUUGGUAAACGGGAGGUAAUCUGAAGAUAUUUUCAUUCCUCUCCGAGCAUCACUUGGGAUAUCUGCAGAAUCACUCAGCGUCACAAUUCCAAGAAAUCUGCCAGGGUUGUGCUGUGAAGUUUGCUUUGGAUAAGAAAGGACUCGAAAGGUCAUAGAUUAUCCCGGGACAUAUCAAAACAUGCAUUAAAAAUUUCCAUGUUCUUGAACUCGUGGUGAAAGUCAGCCACAUUCGCUCAUUUUUGUGCAAGUUUUAAACUCGAGGGACCUUCUCUCUGCUUGCCAGCGUGUCAGCGUGUCGAGAGGGGAGGUGGAAACCGCGUGCUGCUCCCUGUGUGUGUCCUGCAGAGGGGAAAUGCGUGCAGGGGAUGGGCAGGGGAUGCUUCAGGCUGCGGCAUGUGGGAAACCUCAGGCCCCAAAUAGGACCACAUAGAGUUACAGUGUUAAUUAGCACGGAGGAGCAGGGUGUGCGGCUGUUCAGGCGUCAUGUGUAACCUUCUCUUAUGGCAGUGGAAAUCUGGCAGGAAGCUGCUGGGGAGCGGUAAGUCGGCUGGGCCAGGAGCCCCGUUCCAAACGAGCAGGUGGUGUUCAAGGGCAGCAGCGGGCUGGGAGCUGAGUUUUGGGAAGCGAUUGCUGUCAUCAGGGUGGGGAGAAUGCUCUGUGCUCUGGCUCCGCUCUGUGUAUCGCCUGGAGGGAUGAAUGCUGCAGUGGAGCCGACAUCACCAUCCUCACCCUUUGCUUUAACUUACUGGGAUUUCUGGCCUCUUCAAUGUGCAGCAGCAGGAUUUUGCUGGUUUCUUCACUGCCAUUCCUCUUACUACCUCUUACAAUAACCUUUUUUUUCAUGAGUAAGGUGAAGGUGGUGCACGGUGGCACGCCGUGACGUGGAGAUGCUCCUGCUGCACCUACAGAGACAGUGUCAGAGGAUGCUGGUGUGGAAAUAAACGUUGCAGCACAUACCGUGUGCCGACCACUCAUUUAAUUGCCUUUGUAAACCUUUCCCACCCCCCUGGUUCAGACAUGUUGUCAGAGGAUCUCUUCUAACCGCAGAAGAAUGGCGGAGAGGCAGAUGAAAUCAUCGCUGGGCAGGAGGUUGCAAGCAACAGCCACCAGAUCAGUCGAAGCCCCCUGGCCAAAACUAUCUAAUAAAGAGAAGUGGGCCGGAACGCCAACACCAGUG